Molecule: ribosomal RNA, 549 nt
Filed under: uncultured Glomeromycotina
Lineage: Eukaryota; Fungi; Glomeromycota
Description: SSU rRNA
Rfam family: Eukaryotic small subunit ribosomal RNA
Source: RNAcentral
UUGGAGGGCAAGUCUGGUGCCAGCAGCCGCGGUAAUUCCAGCUCCAAUAGCGUAUAUUAAAGUUGUUGCAGUUAAAAAGCUCGUAGUUGAAUUUCGGGAUCAAUUUAUUGGUCGUGCCAACGGUACGCACUGGUACAAUUGGUUUCUCCCUUCUGACGAAGCAUGAUGUCAUUAAUUUGAUGUCGUGGGGAAUCAGGACUGUUACUUUGAAAAAAUUAGAGUGUUUAAAGCAGGCUUUGGCUUGAAUACAUUAGCAUGGAAUAAUGAAAUAGGACGUUUGAUCUUAUUUCGUUGGUUUCUAAGAUCGACGUAAUGAUUAAUAGGGAUAGUUGGGGGCAUUAGUAUUCAAUUGUCAGAGGUGAAAUUCUUGGAUUUAUUGAAGACUAACUACUGCGAAAGCAUUUGCCAAGGAUGUUUUCAUUAAUCAAGAACGAAAGUUAGGGGAUCGAAGACGAUCAGGUACCGUCGUAGUCUUAACCAUAAACUAUGCCGACUAGGGAUCGGAUGAUGUUAAUUUUUUAAUGACUCAUUCGGCGCCUUACGGGAAAC